RNAcentral lists this ribosomal RNA (441 nucleotides) under Capnocytophaga sputigena. RNAcentral's name for it is "bacterial SSU rRNA". It matches the Rfam family "Bacterial small subunit ribosomal RNA", at positions 35 to 475 of the family's 1533-position model. Lineage: Bacteria; Pseudomonadati; Bacteroidota; Flavobacteriia; Flavobacteriales; Flavobacteriaceae. The record is from RNAcentral.
GCUAGCGGCAGGCCUAACACAUGCAAGUCGAGGGAGAGGUUAYCUUCGGGUAACCAAAACCGGCGCACGGGUGCGUAACGCGUAUACAAUCUGCCUUUCACAUAGGGAUAGCCCGAAGAAAUUUGGAUUAAUACCUAAUGGUAUAUAGGAGCGGCAUCGUUUUUAUAUUAAAGCUACGGUGGUGAAAGAUGAGUAUGCGUUCUAUUAGCUAGUUGGAGAGGUAACGGCUCCCCAAGGCGACGAUAGAUAGGGGUUCUGAGAGGGAUGUCCCCCACACUGGUACUGAGAUACGGACCAGACUCCUACGGGAGGCAGCAGUGAGGAAUAUUGGACAAUGGUCGGAAGACUGAUCCAGCCAUGCCGCGUGCAGGAUGAAGGUCCUAUGGAUUGUAAACUGCUUUUGUARGGGAAGAAUAAGGAGUACGUGUACUUUGAUGACGG